This 511-nucleotide ribosomal RNA is filed under the name uncultured bacterium. RNAcentral describes it as "partial 16S ribosomal RNA". It matches the Rfam family "Bacterial small subunit ribosomal RNA", at positions 28 to 523 of the family's 1533-position model. The record is from RNAcentral.
GACGAACGCUGGCGGCGUGCCUAAUACAUGCAAGUAGAACGCUGAAGGAGGAGCUUACUUCUCUGGAUGAGUUGCGAACGGGUGAGUAACGCGUAGGUAACCUGCCUGGUAGCGGGGGAUAACUAUUGGAAACGAUAGCUAAUACCGCAUAAGAGUAGAUGUUGCAUGACAUUUACUUAAAAGGUGCAAUUGCACCACUACCAGAUGUACCUGCGUUGUAUUAGCUAGUUGGUGGGGUAACGGCUUACCAAGGCGACGAUACAUAGCCGACCUGAGAGGGUGAUCGGCCACACUGGGACUGAGACACGGCCCAGACUCCUACGGGAGGCAGCAGUAGGGAAUAUUCGGGAAGGAACGGAAGUCCGACCGAGCAACGCCUCGUGAGUGAAGAAGGUUUUCGGAUCGUAAAGCUCUGUUGUAAGAGAAGAACGAGUGUGAGAGUGGAAAGUUCACACUGUGGCGGUAUCUUACCAGAAAGGGACGGCUAACUACGUGCCAGACGCCGCCGUAA